UUGAUCAUGGCUCAGAAUCAACGCUGGCGGCGUGCCUCGGACAUGCAAGUCGAACGCGAAAGUCCCCUUCGGGGGGCGAGUAGAGUGGCGCACGGGUGAGUAACACGUAGGUAAUCUACCUUCGGAUGGGGAAUAACAACCGGAAACGGUUGCUAAUACCGCAUAAUGCAGCGGCACCUAAUGGUGACAGUUGUUAAAGCGGGGGAUCGUAAGACCUCGCGUCUGAAGAGGAGCCUGCGGCAGAUUAGCUAGUUGGUAAGGUAAUGGCUUACCAAGGCGAUGAUCUGUAGCCGGCCUGAGAGGGCGGUCGGCCACACUGACACUGACAUACGGGUCAGACUCCUACGGGAGGCAGCAGUCGGGAAUUUUGGGCAAUGGGCGAAAGCCUGACCCAGCAACGCCGCGUGAAGGAUGAAAUCCUUCGGGAUGUAAACUUCGCAAGAACGGGAAGAAUAAGUAAGAGCUAACAUCUCUUACGAUGACGGUACUGUUUGUAAGCUCCGGCUAACUCCGUGCCAGCAGCCGCGGUAAUACGGGGGGAGCAAGCGUUGUUCGGAUUUACUGGGCGUAAAGGGCGCGUAGGCGGCCACCGCAAGUCAGUUGUGAAAUCUCUGGGCUUAACCCAGAAAGGUCAACUGAUACUGCGGGGCUAGAGUGCAGAAGGGGCAACUGGAAUUCUCGGUGUAGCGGUGAAAUGCAUAGAUAUCGAGAGGAACACCUGCGGCGAAUGCGGGUUGCUGGGCU
RNAcentral lists this ribosomal RNA (744 nucleotides) under uncultured bacterium. RNAcentral describes it as "bacterial SSU rRNA". It matches the Rfam family "Bacterial small subunit ribosomal RNA", at positions 13 to 735 of the family's 1533-position model. The record is from RNAcentral.